Molecule: ribosomal RNA, 497 nt
Filed under: uncultured bacterium
Lineage: Bacteria
Description: partial 16S ribosomal RNA
Rfam family: Bacterial small subunit ribosomal RNA
Source: RNAcentral
GAUGAACGCUGGCGGCGUGCCUAAUACAUGCAAGUCGAGCGAACAGACGAGGAGCUUGCUCCUUUGACGUUAGCGGCGGACGGGUGAGUAACACGUGGAUAACCUACCUAUAAGACUGGGAUAACUUCGGGAAACCGGAGCUAAUACCGGAUAACAUGUUGAACCGCAUGGUUCAACAGUGAAAGACGGUUUUGCUGUCACUUAUAGAUGGAUCCGCGCCGCAUUAGCUAGUUGGUAAGGUAACGGCUUACCAAGGCAACGAUGCGUAGCCGACCUGAGAGGGUGAUCGGCCACACUGGAACUGAGACACGGUCCAGACUCCUACGGGAGGCAGCAGUAGGGAAUCUUCCGCAAUGGGCGAAAGCCUGACGGAGCAACGCCGCGUGAGUGAAGAAGGUCUUCGGAUCGUAAAACUCUGUUAUUAGGGAAAAACAAAUGUGUAAGUAACUAUGCACGUCUUGACGGUACCUAAUCAAAAAGCAACGGCUAACUACGUG